RNAcentral lists this ribosomal RNA (555 nucleotides) under uncultured bacterium. RNAcentral's name for it is "partial 16S ribosomal RNA". It matches the Rfam family "Bacterial small subunit ribosomal RNA", at positions 355 to 924 of the family's 1533-position model. The record is from RNAcentral.
UGGGGAAUAUUGCACAAUGGGCGAAAGCCUGAUGCAGCAACGCCGCGUGAGUGAUGAAGGUCUUCGGAUUGUAAAGCUCUGUCUUUUGGGACGAUAAUGACGGUACCAAAGGAGGAAGCCACGGCUAACUACGUGCCAGCAGCCGCGGUAAUACGUAGGUGGCGAGCGUUGUCCGGAUUUACUGGGCGUAAAGGGUGCGUAGGCGGAUGUUUAAGUGAGAUGUGAAAUACCCGGGCUUAACUUGGGUGCUGCAUUUCAAACUGGAUAUCUAGAGUGCAGGGGAGGAGAAUGGAAUUCCUAGUGUAGCGGUGAAAUGCGUAGAGAUUAGGAAGAACACCAGUGGCGAAGGCGAUUCUCUGGACUGUAACUGACGCUGAGGCACGAAAGCGUGGGUAGCAAACAGGAUUAGAUACCCUGGUAGUCCACGCCGUAAACGAUGAGUACUAGGUGUAGGAGGUAUCGACCCCUUCUGUGCCGCAGUAAACACAUUAAGUACUCCGCCUGGGAAGUACGAUCGCAAGAUUAAAACUCUAAAGUGAAUUGACGGGGGUCAUA